Molecule: ribosomal RNA, 484 nt
Filed under: uncultured bacterium
Lineage: Bacteria
Description: partial 16S ribosomal RNA
Rfam family: Bacterial small subunit ribosomal RNA
Source: RNAcentral
AUUGAACGCUGGCGGCAUGCUUUACACAUGCAAAUCGAACGGCAGCGCGGGCUUCGGCCUGGCGGCGAGUGGCGAACGGGUGAGUAAUGCAUCGGAACGUGCCCAGUAGUGGGGGAUAGCCCGGCGAAAGCCGGAUUAAUACCGCAUACGACCUGAGGGUGAAAGCGGGGGACCGAAAGGCCUCGCGCUAUUGGAGCGGCCGAUGUCGGUUUAGCUAGUUGGUGGGGUAAAGGCUUACCAAGGCGACGAUCCGUAGCUGGUCUGAGAGGACGACCAGCCACACUGGGACUGAGACACGGCCCAGACUCCUACGGGAGGCAGCAGUGGGGAAUUUUGGACAAUGGGGGCAACCCUGAUCCAGCCAUGCCGCGUGCGGGAAGAAGGCCUUCGGGUUGUAAACCGCUUUUGUUCGGGAAGAAAUCCUCUGGGCUAAUACCCCGGGGGGAUGACGGUACCGGAAGAAUAAGCACCGGCUAACUACGUG